RNAcentral lists this long non-coding RNA (5839 nucleotides) under Sus scrofa (pig). RNAcentral describes it as "lncRNA (ENSSSCG00055012809.1)". Lineage: Eukaryota; Metazoa; Chordata; Mammalia; Artiodactyla; Suidae. The record is from RNAcentral.
UUUUUUUUUUUUUUUUUUUUUCCCUCUUCCAUUGUAAACAGUGCUUGAAUAAGCAUUCGUGUUUGUGCAUGAAUCUUUUUAUGCAUUUAGGAGUGUUUUCUUCGGAUUAAUGCAUAGAAGUGAAGUUACUGGGGAGAAGCGUAAACAUGUUUUUACUACUCUAGGUGUUCACUGACAAAUUCCUUCUCAAAACAGCCUUGAUGGUAACUUUGAUUAGCAAUGUAUGAGAACAUUCAUUUCCCUGGCCUGGAUUAUUAUUGUAUCUAUUUUGGGGGGGGGGCUAAUUCGCUAAUUUGCUCUGUGUUACUGUGCUCUUUGAUUAUUAAUGAAGAUAAAUGUGUUAAAAGUGGGAUCGCAUUUCUUCUUCCGAUUAGCUUCUUUUUUUCCCCUUUUUGUUCUAGUAACUAAUUCAGUGAGCAACUGCAGUUUUAUGCCCUCUGUCAUGAUUUAAUAGAUUUAGAUCACAGACAUCUUAGCUUUUAUGAAUUUUCAUAGCAAGGAGGUCCACGUUUUUAGUCUUUUUUUUGUUGUUGUUAAAGAGUUGCAAAUAUUUUUUAAUUUAAUUUUUUAAUUAUUACUCAAUGAAUUUAUCACACCUGUAGUUGUACAAUGAUCAUCACAAUCCAAUUUCACAGGAUUUCCAUCCCACAACCCAAGCACAUCCCCCCACCCCCUAAACUGUCUCCUCCGGAGACCAUAAGUGUUUCAAGGUCUGUGAGUCAGCAUCUGUUCUGCAAAGAAGUUCAGUCUGUCCUUUUUUCAGAUUCCACAUGUCAGUGAAGCCUUCUUGAAAUGUUCCUCUUCUUGCCCUCCCUUUCACUUGGGGUUAACGAUGCGUCACAUAGAAUUUACCAUCUUAGCCCUUUUUUGGGCGCACCAUUCAGUAGCGUUAAGUACGUCGCCUUGUACCAGUAUUAUUGUUUGUGAACCAUUCUUCUGAUUGUUAUUUUCAUACUAAUUUUGUGGCGACUGAUUGGCUUCUCUGGGUGUGGAAACAUACUGUCUGGGUGCAGAAGCUGGGAUUUCUGGUUUCUAUUGGGUCUCGGGUCGUUACUAAUAACUUAGGGCCUCUCAAUCAAUGAAUAUGGCCUGUUCGCAUUCAUUUCAAUUUUCCCUACACUUAUUUUGUGCUGUCAAAAUGGAUAGUCAUCUGCCACUUCGGACUUAUCACCUGGGGCCUCAGGAGAUGGUUUUGUGGUUUAUUGUUCUUUUCACCUGGACACGUGGCUCCUCAUGUGUGUUUGCCCAUGAGGAUGGGGGCUGUGUGACUGUCUCCUUUUCUGGGUGCCGGCGGAUGGCAUAGGGUGUGCAAAGGCUCUGCCUGAGAAGGCGCUUGACUUGCUCAAGGAGCAGAAGGGAGCCUGGUGGCCAGGCUUGAGGAGCAAAGGGGCAUCGGUGUUAGAUGAAGUUGCAGGGGCCGGAUACGGCAGGGGCCCCUUACCACUCAGGUUCCUACUGCCCUGUGGAUAGAACUCUGUUAAAGGCUUUUAACUGAAGCAGGACUAGAGGGAGCCACAUAGCCUUUUGUGGGUUUAUUUUAUUUUUUUUUGAAUCUCACCCUGGCUGCUGGAAGGGGAAAAAUGGAUUCUAGAAGAAUAGACCUAGCAAGCAGAUGUGUUGGGAUGUUGGAUGUAUAACCCAGAUGACAGAGUUAUCUUGAUUUAUCUCCCCUUUCUCAAUCUUUCUUUCUCUCUUUUAAACUAAAUCCACACUGUGACCAUCUGCAGCACAGCCGAAGGUCACCUGCCAGUGUACCUUGUAGAAAAGCAGGACUUAUCAGAACACGUCAACAUUAGAAGGAUGGGUUCAUUUACUGUGGUACUUCAACCAAGCAAGCUCGCUCGCCCCAGGCUAAAUAGAGUUUGCAUAUGAAUCUCAAAAGUUCCCUGUCAAUUCUCUUUGAACAUCCUGCUGAGCUUCAAAUGGACUUUAUAUAGGAUUUAGUGAAUUCAAUCCAUGUAUAUUUUUUGUACUUCCAAAAAAAACCUUGCCACUCAUCCACACCCUGCCUUGAUCAUUUUUUUUUGAGUCAUCAUGGGCAGAGUGGUUAAAAGAAUGGAGUCUGGAGCUGCAUCGUCUGCAUUCUUUUCCCAGUUGCACCUCUUACUAGUUCUGCACCUUGAGCUGAUUGCUUAACCUCCCUGAGCCUCCUUUUUCUCAUCUGUAAAUUGGGAGAAGUAAUAGUACUUAGCUCACAGGGCUGAUGUGAGGGAUAAGUGAAUUGAUAUAUGUUUAAAACACAGCCUAGUGCCACUGGCUGUUUGCUGUUAUUACAUGCUUAAAAAAGAUUUCUCUUACUCCAUAAAUGCCUUAAGGGUAGGGAAUCUUAUUCUUAUUCUGCAAUGCCUCCUACACAAUCUAUCAUGAUACCUUGGUGGGCAUUCAAUAAAUUAUUUAUUGAAAGAAAUUGAAAUUUUUUGAAAAAUCCAGUCGUCCAGUAAUAGCUGCCUUUGGUUUUGAAAUAAGGCUGUUAAAGCUUGUACAGGGUGGUUUCAGCGGUCAUAAAGUGAGGUCACAGAGUUUUUCUGGGAUGGUUUAGUAGCAGAGUAUACUGUUUCCUUGUUUAAUUACAUGGUUGGGACAAAAACCCACUAUGUACUUUUAAAAAGUAUAUUUUAAACAGAAUCAUACAAAGAUGAUGAAAUAGUGAGCCUUGGAACACUAAAACUCUUAAAACAUAAGCUUUGGCAUUUUAAAUUAAAAAGCAGCAACAGGAGUUUCCACUGUGGCUCAGUUGAAAUGACCCCGACUAGUAUCCAUGAGGAUGCGGCUUCCAUCCCUGGCCUCCCUCAGUGGGUUGAGGAUCUGGCCUUGCCAUGAGCUGUGGGCCUAGGUUGCAGCUAUGGCUCAGAUCCCGAGUUGCUGUGGCUGUGGUGUAGGCCCGCAACUACAGCUCGGAGUCGACCCCUAGCCGGGGAACUUCCAUAUGCUGUAAGUGUGGCCCUAAAAAAAGCAACAAAAACUAACUAUCAUAUUGGACAACAGUUUGCAUGCAAUAGAGUUAACCCUCUAAAUGAAAACACCCCAGAGUAGAAUUGGCCAGUUAUGUGUAUCGUUUUCUUUCAGAAUGCUAGUUUUAGGUUCCAUUCUGGAAUUUCUGACUUAAGUAUGAAUUUGACUUUUCCACAUGCACACCUAAGUUAAUAUGUACACGUAUAUGUAAUAGAAUUUCUGGGUAACACUUAGAAUUGAAUAAGAGAUGUCCAGGACUCAUAUUGGCUGUUGGUCUUGUAUGUUAACCUUUAGUACAUUGUGAAUUGUGGGUGAUAAUAUUGUUUCAGGUUUAACUAUUUGAAAUUGCAUAAGGUAGUAGUUUUAUUUAUGUGGUUUUAGAGAAAGGAUAACAUUAUCAUUGCACAUUUCAUUGAAAUUACUUUUAUCGAUCUGCUUGAGACUUUUAAUAGGAAUUUAGAGUAGUUCUAAAACUAGAGCACAGCCACAGCAAUGCCAGAUCCGAGCUGCAUCUGCAAACUGCACCACAUUUCACAGCAACGCUGGAUCCUUAACCACUAAGUGAGGCCUGGAAUCAAACCUGCAACCUUAUGAAUACUAGUCGGUUUCCACGAAGGGAACUCCUACAUUCUGAAUACUUUUUUGUAGGCCCAAGGCAGUGGGAAUAAAUACAAGGAAAGUUCGUUGUGGUCCUUAUUUCAAACAGCUUGCAAUUUUGCUGUGAAAAUAUGUAUGUGUGUGAAAUAAUUAUACAAAAUGGCACAUCCUUGAGGACUGGGUCAUAAGGUAUAGCUAAGUGGAUUCAGAGCAACAGGGUUGGCCUUCCAGAAGUAUUAAAGACUCUGGAGCUUGCCUGGAUUUGAAUAUUGGUUCCACCGCUUAACUUACUAGCAAUGUAAGUUGUAAUGCAACUUCUGUCUCAGUUUCCUCAUCUGUCAAAUGGGAAUAAUACUAUAACGUACCUACUGGGAUUGUUGACUUGUGGCCUUUCUAAAUAGGGGUGUCUUGAGAAAAUGAAGUCUUCAUGACCUCAGGCAUCUAUAUAAUGUCUUCUCUCCUGUGGAUCUGGAAUGGCAGACUAACUGUCCUGGGAGAUUUGAGAAAACAGGCAUCAGAUCAUUUUCCACGGGCAGUGGUUUCAAUAAGGAACCCUGGUUGAGGGUUAAGUGAGUAAUCAAUCAUGUGGAACAGGGUUCGAAUGUGUUAAUUAUCACUGUUGUCAGACUCUGAAAAAAGAGGAUUUAAUUAGAGGUAAAGGGUUUUUUUCAGGCUGAGAGAAGUUAAAGGUUAUCUGAGAGUGUUUUCCAUCUCAGACAGCUCUCCCAUUACUUUGUGUCUCUGGGACCAAGAUGGGACUUCGAAAAUCAACAACUUAGUUAUCCAAAGCACAGAGCAUUUGAAAGGAGGGUUAUGCAUAGGGGAAAAAAAUGCUUCUUAAAUAAGCAUCUUACCUGUAUCAAAGUCACAUGUAUGUAUAGACAUCAUCAUUUUGAAACGAUGAGAGAGAAAAAAGUUUUUAGUGAGCAAGAGAUGGCAAAUGGAAAUUAACCAUAUCCCAAAAAGGUCAUUGACACACCUUUUUGGGGAAGUUAUAUAUAUUUUUGUGGCAUAUAAAGGCAGGUUGGAGAGGCGCUUGUUUAGUUUGAUCUAGAGUGCCCUGGGAGCAGGUCAUGAGCAUCGGUGACACUGGGAGAGCCAUCUCAAUGGAAUUCACCCCAUAGCGCGUGACAGUGCUCGCUCUUCCCCUCUCUGUCCCUCUCAGCCCUGCCCCCCCCCCCCGCCAGGUUUCAGUAUAUUUGUACAUUCAUACGGCUUUGAAACUGUUCAUAUGCUUCUUAAGAAGCUUGCCAUUUGCUGUUUUUUUGCUAUAGUAGACUCCCAGCUUGUCCCCCCACAUUCCGGGUCCCUCUUCGUGCAUUUUAUCCUGCAUGUCACACCUGUGAUCAUUUUCUUUCCUCUGUUCCCCUUGACCCCCACUCGCAUGCUCGCCCCUUCUCCAGACCAGCCUCUGGGACCAAGGCUGACCUUAGGAUCUAAAGAGGUCCAGUUCAGUACUGACGGAUUCAGUGCUCAGGGUGGUUAUUGCUAAUUUGGUGCUUUCUCGUUGAGAGGUAGUUGUAAUCGUUGUACUGCUUUGUUCCAAUGAUCACUUCCCCACCUUGCACCCCAAUUUGUGUACCUGGGCUACUUUUAUUUCUCUUUGCAGAGUCCUUUGAUCACUCUUAAGCCUACUCGUGAAACUCAGAGGCCGACUCUCUCUGAUGUGUGACAUUUGUGGUGUCUGUCCCCUCUUUGGGGGCAUCUGAUGUAGAAACUCCCUGAGACUAACUUCCUGCCUCUUUAUUACCUGUUGCCUGUCAGGGGUUUAUCUGUUUUCUGCCUACUGAGCUUUCCAUCGCUGCCCACUCUUGGUUUCCCACCUCCCAGUUUCCUGUUCUAAAUCCUUUUCCUUUCCAGGUUCCCACUGCAGGAGCCGCUGGCACUGCCUAAAGGAUGACAAUGGCAGAGGGUGAGAUAUUCUUUAUAAAAACUUCCUGGCGAAGGAAGAAGCCGGCGGAGUGUAGAUGCCAUUAAAUAUAUGAAAUAAAGUAAGGCCAUAGGAAAAAAUAUUGAGAACAUUUUAGCAUUAAGACCUAGAGGGGAGUUCCUGUUGUGGCUCAGUGGGUUAUGCACCUGACUAGUGUCCAUGAAGAUGUGGGGUUGACCCCUGGCCUUGCUCAGUGAGUUAAGGAUCCGGCAUUGCUGCAAGGUAUGGCCAAGGUCAAGGAUGUGGCUCAGAUCUGGCAUUGUUGUGGCUGUGGUGUAGGCAACAGCUGCAGCUCCGAUUCGACCCCUAGCCUGGGAACUUCCAUAUACCACAUGCGUGGCCCUUAAAAAAAAAAAAAAA